CGUCCGGGGCCGCCGCCGCCGCCGCCACCGCCGCUUCGGGGUUCAGGGGGGGCCGGAAAAAACCCAAAUCCCGGGGGUUUCCCCCCAAAAAAAACCCCCGGCAUGGACUCGGGGGGAUCCAAAGCGCUGCCGGACCCGGCCGACGCGAUGACGUCGGACGACUUCGACAUCGUCAUCGAGGCCAUGCUGGAGGCGCCCUACAAGAAGGAGGAGGUG
Molecule: long non-coding RNA, 216 nt
Organism: Camarhynchus parvulus
Lineage: Eukaryota; Metazoa; Chordata; Aves; Passeriformes; Thraupidae
Exons: 3
Source: RefSeq, a predicted model, not a curated record